Molecule: ribosomal RNA, 449 nt
Filed under: uncultured bacterium
Lineage: Bacteria
Description: partial 16S ribosomal RNA
Rfam family: Bacterial small subunit ribosomal RNA
Source: RNAcentral
AACGAACGCUGGCGGCAGGCCUAACACAUGCAAGUCGAACGCCGUAGCAAUACGGAGUGGCAGACGGGUGAGUAACGCGUGGGAACCUUCCCUAUGGUUCGGAAUAGCUCAGGGGAACCUGGGGUAACACCGGAUAAGCCCUUCGGGGGAAAGAUUUAUCGCCAUUGGAUGGGCCCGCGUCGGAUUAGCUAGUUGGUGAGGUAACGGCUCACCAAGGCGACGAUCCGUAGCUGGUCUGAGAGGAUGAUCAGCCACACUGGGACUGAGACACGGCCCAGACUCCUACGGGAGGCAGCAGUGGGGAAUAUUGGACAAUGGGCGAAAGCCUGAUCCAGCCAUGCCGCGUGAGUGACGAAGGCCUUAGGGUUGUAAAGCUCUUUUGGCGGGGAAGAUAAUGACGGUACCCGCAGAAUAAGCUCCGGCUAACUUCGUGCCAGCCGCCGCGGUAA